Non-coding RNA from Pelobates cultripes (western spadefoot toad), 793 nucleotides. NCBI's taxonomy places the organism in Eukaryota, Metazoa, Chordata, Amphibia, Anura, Pelobatidae. The record is from the annotation of a GenBank genome assembly.
AGCUUGAACAGUCUGUUGGUUUCCAUGGCAAUUACACAAAUGUCAGAAUAUUGCCCCAGAAUUCAGCUCUAUAAAGGAAACCUCACACGUUCCCAUGUAAACAUGCAAAAUGUUUUUGGGAAGCCCAAUAUUUCAGUGAGGCGUUGGAGAAGGUAUGUGGCCUUCAAGAGAUGAUUAACGAUCUUGGCUUGAAUUUCUGACCAUACUGAUCCCCUCACUCUUAUUAUAUACCCUAAAAAUCACAACCAUGGAAUCUAAACAUAAAUGUGGGUUUGAAAGAGACAGUGUCUGGGUAACAAAAGCAUUCCAGCCAACGUCAAAAAUUACAUUCUUUCAGUGGACUUCAACAGUUUUAAAAGCUCCUUUAGUUCACUAAAGACCAACCAAGAGGGGGGAGCACCAGGGCAAAUACCCCCUAGUCGGCUAACUAGGAUUUUACUUUAAUGCAUUAUUAAAAAUUGAUUAUGGAGCUGCCAUUCACUAGAGUGUACCACAUGAGUAUCUAGGUUUAAGACCGUGGACAGACCACGGAAAGUUUUAGAAACUCAUCUUUUCAUUUUUUUUUUUACCUGUUCGGUUGCAUUUGCCCUCAAAAUCCUGGUAGGUUUCAGAAUGAAACCAAAAAUAUACCCCCCAAACCACAAAUAAGCACUACUCUACUCGGAGGUGGCGCUCACAUAAUGCAGAGUCCAUGGACAAUGCCCCCAUAGUGGGAUAAUAACACAUACAAUCUGUAUAUUAGCCAGGAGCUAGAAAAUACCCCUUCAGUGCAUCUAGAAGCAUUACACAGAUA